This 228-nucleotide ribosomal RNA is filed under the name uncultured bacterium. RNAcentral's name for it is "partial 16S ribosomal RNA". It matches the Rfam family "Bacterial small subunit ribosomal RNA", at positions 568 to 796 of the family's 1533-position model. The record is from RNAcentral.
UGCGCAGGCGGACCUAUCAGUCAGUGGUGAAAUCUCUCGGCUUAACCGGGAAACUGCCAUUGAUACUGUAGGUCUUGAGUUUGGUUGAAGUGGCGGAAUGUAGCAUGUAGCGGUGAAAUGCAUAGAUAUGCUACAGAACACCGAUCGCGAAGGCAGCUCACUAAACCAAAACUGACGCUCAGGCACGAAAGCGUGGGUAGCGAACAGGAUUAGAUACCCUGGUAGUCC